Molecule: ribosomal RNA, 301 nt
Filed under: uncultured bacterium
Lineage: Bacteria
Description: partial 16S ribosomal RNA
Rfam family: Bacterial small subunit ribosomal RNA
Source: RNAcentral
CAGCAGCCGCGGGAAAACGUAGGUGGCAAGCGUUGUCCGGAAUUAUUGGGCGUAAAGGGCUCGCAGGCGGUUUCUUAAGUCUGAUGUGAAAGCCCCCGGCUCAACCGGGGAGGGUCAUUGGAAACUGGGAAACCUGAGUGCAGAAGGGGAGAGUGGAAUUCCACGUGUAGCGGUGAAAUGCGUAGAGAUGUGGAGGAACACCAGUGGCGAAGGCGACUCUCUGGUCUGUAACUGACGCUGAGGAGCGAAAGCGUGGGGAGCGAACAGGAUUAGAUACCCCAGUAGUCCCUGUCUCUUAUAC